Molecule: transfer RNA, 76 nt
Filed under: Betaproteobacteria bacterium
Lineage: Bacteria; Pseudomonadati; Pseudomonadota; Betaproteobacteria
Also listed under: 1 other name
Description: tRNA-Arg
Rfam family: tRNA
About the family: Transfer RNA (tRNA) molecules are approximately 80 nucleotides in length. Their secondary structure includes four short double-helical elements and three loops (D, anti-codon, and T loops).
Source: RNAcentral
GCGCCCGUAGCUCAGUGGAUAGAGUAUCGGCCUCCGAAGCCGAGGGUCGCUGGUUCGAUCCCAGCCGGGCGCGCCA